This 237-nucleotide long non-coding RNA is filed under the name Hordeum vulgare. RNAcentral's name for it is "long non-coding RNA (HVUL_LNC002242)". Lineage: Eukaryota; Viridiplantae; Streptophyta; Magnoliopsida; Poales; Poaceae. The record is from RNAcentral.
UGUGCUUGUGAGAUUUAGGUGUCGAUCAGACCUAUCUAUGUGAGACCUAUGUGUGUAUCAGACCUAUCUAUGUGAGACCUAUGUGUGUAUCAGACCUAUCUAUAUGUAUGUGAGACCUAUGUAUGUGUGUUUCGGACCUAUCUAUAUGUAUGUGAGACCAAGUUCUGUUCAAGCCUUUUUAUUUGUUCAUCUGAUGCACAAAUGGCACCAAAAUGCUGCCAAAUUUUGACCAAAAAA